GAUGAACGCUGGCGGCGUGCCUAAUACAUGCAAGUCGAGCGAAUGGAUUAAGAGCUUGCUCUUAUGAAGUUAGCGGCGGACGGGUGAGUAACACGUGGGUAACCUGCCCAUAAGACUGGGGUAACUCCGGGAAACCGGGGCUAGUACCGGAUAACAUUUUGAACCGCAUGGUUCGAAAUUGAAAGGCGGCUUCGGCUGUCACUUAUGGAUGGACCCGCGUCGCAUUAGCUAGUUGGUGCGGUAACGGCUCACCAAGGCAACGAUGCGUAGCCGACCUGAGAGGGUGAUCGGCCACACUGGGACUGAGACACGGCCCAGACUCCGACGGGAGGCAGCAGUAGGGAAUCUUCCGCAAUGGACGAAAGUCUGACGGAGCAACGCCGCGUGGGUGAUGAAGGCUUUCGGGUCGUAAAACUCUGUUGUUAGGGAAGAACAAGUGCUAGUUGAAUAAGCUGGCACCUUGACGGUACCUAACCAGAAAGCCACGGCUAACUACGUGCCAGCCGCCGCGGUAA
This 515-nucleotide ribosomal RNA is filed under the name uncultured bacterium. RNAcentral's name for it is "partial 16S ribosomal RNA". It matches the Rfam family "Bacterial small subunit ribosomal RNA", at positions 28 to 523 of the family's 1533-position model. The record is from RNAcentral.